GACGAACGCUGGCGGCGUGCUUAACACAUGCAAGUCGAACGGUGAAGCGCCUUCCUUUUUGGUGGGUGUGGAUGAGUGGCGAACGGGUGAGUAACACGUGAGUAACCUGCCCCCUUCUUCUGGAUAACCGCAUGAAAGUGUGGCUAAUACGGGAUAUUCUGGGUCUGUCGCAUGAUGGGUCUGGGAAAGAUAUUGUUUCGGUGGGGGAUGGGCUCGCGGCCUAUCAGCUUGUUGGUGGGGUGAUGGCCUACCAAGGCGGUGACGGGUAGCCGGCCUGAGAGGGUGGACGGUCACACUGGGACUGGGACACGGCCCAGACUCCUACGGGGGGCAGCAGUGGGGAAUAUUGCACAAUGGGCGCAAGCCUGAUGCAGCGACGCCGCGUGAGGGAUGGAGGCCUUCGGGUUGUGAACCUCUUUCGCCAGUGAAGCAGGCCUGCCUCGUUUGUGGGUGGGUUGACGGUAGCUGGAUAAGAAGCGCCGGCUAACUACGUG
Molecule: ribosomal RNA, 494 nt
Filed under: uncultured bacterium
Lineage: Bacteria
Description: partial 16S ribosomal RNA
Rfam family: Bacterial small subunit ribosomal RNA
Source: RNAcentral